AGCCCGCGGGCGCGGCCUAACUGCUCGCCCGCCCGCCCGCUGCUCGCCCCCCGGCGCCCGAGGGUCGCAGUACCUGGGCGGCGGCCUCCAGCUUGCCCUCGAAGGAAAUAGCCAGUUGAAGGGAUGAUCUGAAAACAGUUUUCCCCGAGAAACAUUUAGUUAUCCAAGGUCGCUCCAACCAGUGAAAUCUAGACCUUUUAGGAGAGUGGUUUCAAAGAUUAGAAAGACCGGAUCCCACGAUUGCAUGUUUAAAACAAGAUGCUUCAUUGCUGGGCACGGAGGCUGAGGCAGGAGGAUCAUCAUGGGCCAGCCUGGACUACAGAGGUUUCACUCUAUAGCUAUGCUGGCCUCAAAAUCACUAUAUAGAGCAGCCUGGCACGGAGCCUUCAGCAGUUUUCCUGCCUCAGCCUUACAGGCAGGAGCAGCCCCACCACCAGUUGGUUUGUUUCCCUAUUUUAUUUUCCUUUUCUCCUCCUCUUCUUUUCUAUCUUUCUUUCUUUUUCAAAGACAGGGCCUCACUAUAUAGCCCUGGCUAGCAUGAAAUUAACUAUGAAAACUGGUUGGCACUUAACUCUCAAAGAUCUGCCCAUCUGUGCUUCCCAAGUGCUAGAAUUAGAGUCCUAAACCACCGUG
Molecule: long non-coding RNA, 633 nt
Filed under: Mus caroli (Ryukyu mouse)
Lineage: Eukaryota; Metazoa; Chordata; Mammalia; Rodentia; Muridae
Description: lncRNA (MGP_CAROLIEiJ_G0002694.1)
Source: RNAcentral